UAUAAAAAAAUUUUUUAUUUUUUAUAUACCUAUAUACUCGUUAAAAAAAAAAAAUGUUUUUAGCAUCACAGAAAAGACAAACCAAAACGAAUUUUCAAUAGUCAAGCUAAACAAAUGCCACCCAUUUAAAAAAUAUUUUUCAUAUGCUCUUUUUAAUAUUAUUUUAAAAAAUUAUACCUAUUUUUAUGUCUAUAUGAAAUAUUUUAAUAGGCAUGGGGAGGUAAUGAGCUCAGACUUGACAAGUGUUACUGUGACUAUUAACAAGAACGAAACAAAUGCAUACGAUCAAAAAAAUGUUCUUAUUUUUUUUAACUGUUUUUUGAAAGAGUUAUAUAUGAAAAUUAUACACGACCGAUACAGAGAAAAUUAUUUAGAAAGUGAUCAUGAUUUGUUUAGUUUGGAUAACAUAAAUAAAAUGACAUUAUUUAAAUAUGCAAACGAUUUGGGUGCACGAAAACAUAGGGGCAUAAUAAUGGAUGAUAAGAGUGUCAAUAACAAAGGUAGUGUGAGUAGUAGCCAAGGUAGUACCAGUAGUAACUGUAGUUCCAGUGGUAGAUGGAGUAGCAGUGAUGUUGAUAAAUCAUUUAAAAAUAUACUAAAGGUUAAAAAUGAAAAGAACAAAAUAAAUAGUAACAGUAGUAUGGUAAAUAACAAAAUGUGUAAUGAAGGAUAUUAUUGGCAUUAUGAAUUUAAACAUAACCCGUUUUUUCUUUCUAACGUGUCAAAUAAAUAUGGUAUGACAAAAUUUGUUAAAACUGGCGAGCAUAAAGCAUGUACUACUAAUGAUAUGUAUAACAGUAGUCGUAACAGUGGUAACAAUGUUAUAUGCAACAUAGCUCCAGAAAUAGAAGAUCAAAUGACACAACUUUUGUAUAAUGUCCAUGCAUAUAUUGUUAAUAAGUUGAAUAUAUUAAACAGUGCAUAUAAUAACACUAGUAAAAAUAUUCCCAAAAAUAUCCCAAACUGUUUUAUAUCAUAUAAUACUUUAAAUCAGACCGAAUUUAAAAAAAUAAAAAAUAAAUUUUAUAAAAGAAUAUCACAUGUUCAAUUACAAAUUAUUAAAAAAUUACAAAAAAAAAAAUAUCAUGUAGAAAACUGUACAAAUUAUAUUAAAAACAAUUUAUAUAUUGAAAUGAGUGACGUUAAUAUGCAUUAUACUAACCUAAAUUAUUUGGACCUGCUAAACAUUUUUAAUAUAUGUGAAAAAAAUGAUAAUAAUAAUAAUAAUAAUAAUAGUGGUAAAAGUAAAAGAAGACAAAAAAAACGAAAAAAAGAAGAACGUGUGAUUUUAUAUAUACCAUCUUAUUUUUUAUUUUGCUUAAAUAGAACGUAGUGACUGUUUAUAUAAGAAAAAAAAGGUUAGUAUAAUAUUAAUGCGUUAGUAAGCGCCAAAAAAAAAAAAAAAAAAAAAAAAAAUGAUAAGUAAAAAAUGUAAUUAAAAAAUAGUAUAAUAGUAAGCUUGCCCUGGUAUUAUCUUUAUUUUAUUUUAUUUUAUUUUAUUUUUUUUAUUUUUUUUUUUGUUACAACUUAUAAAAAAAAAGCAACUAGUAUUAACAUAUAUGUGUAUAUAUGUGUAUACACUUAUCAAAAGAUAAAAGGUUGUUGUAAAUUUUACUUUUUUUUUUUUUUUUUUUGUCAUAC
This is a long non-coding RNA of Piliocolobus tephrosceles (Ugandan red Colobus), 1641 nucleotides long. NCBI's taxonomy places the organism in Eukaryota, Metazoa, Chordata, Mammalia, Primates, Cercopithecidae. The record is from Ensembl.